This 1510-nucleotide unclassified non-coding RNA is filed under the name Hevea brasiliensis (rubber tree). The record is from RNAcentral. Lineage: Eukaryota; Viridiplantae; Streptophyta; Magnoliopsida; Malpighiales; Euphorbiaceae.
GUCCAAAUGGGUUGUAUCUUCCAUGUUCGCUGUUGUGCUUAUAUGGAGGCAUGAUGCUGCGUCUUUGUGGCUUGCUAUGGGAUCUGUUGUAAAUUUUAUCCUCUGUGUAAGACUCAAGCGGAUAUUCAACCAACAGAGACCUCUUUCUACAUUGAAAUCUGACCCAGGGAUGCCAUCUUCGCAUGCGCAAUCCAUUUUCUACAUUUCUAUGGUCUCCGUUCUGUCAAGUAAUUCCACUUCCCUACCCUCUGUGUUUGAUGUCACUUUGAUUUGUAUAUAUUUAUAUAAUUUGUUUCAUGAGCUGUCUGUUUUGCUCAAUAGCUUUUCAAUCUCAAUGAUGAAAUUUCAUUACAACUUGAAGAAUUGACGAGGUCUUGUGGUAGAAUGUUUAAUUCUUUCCUUUUUCCCUUUGAGAUAAUAACAAGUGAUGAUUUGAAACAAGCACCGGUUUCUGCAAAAAGUGUAUGCUCCAUGUGAUUGCAUGCAAAUUCAGGCAAAUAUAUGGAUUGAUGUUAUUGUUAAGUAUUUUCGUAGGAUAUAGAAUGAAUCUAUUUGUUUCAUUAAAGGAAAUAAAUCAGUCUUGAAUUAGUUGAAUUGACAUACAAUGCAUUCCUGUGAACAUUUGAAUACACAAAGAUUUCCAUGAUGAUGUAUAUUUCUUCUUCUUGUUACUUAUCCAUAUGAGUAUCUACUUUUUUUGCGUCUUAUUGAAGAAUUUUAUUUAUUUCCUCUUUAGUAACUCAUGAAUGUGAAUAUGAUAGGUCUAUUGCUAAUAAAGUAACAAGUAUUCUUCUUGUUCUGUAUGGUUUUGCAGUUAUAGAAACAUUUGGAGCAAAUGAAAUUACGUUUAUCGUAGCUGCUCUUGCAUUGGCGUGCGGCUCAUAUCUUUCAUGGCUGCGGGUUUCACAACAAUUUCACACAACAAGCCAAGUGGUUGUUGGUGCUGCCGUUGGGUCAAUUUUCUCCAUUUUGUGGUUUUGGUCAUGGCAUGCCAUUUUGCUGGAAGCAUUUAUGUCCUUUUGGUGGGUUCGAAUAAUUGUUGCUUUUGGAGCUCUUGCGUACUUAUUGUGUUUUCUUUCACUUGUGAUCCGCUUCUGGCUUCCUCAUGAACAAUAACUUCUCUUUUCCCCUUUUUCAAUUAAAGUAUUAAACAAUGUCAAUCGAAAAGGAAACAUUUUCGAUGAAUGAAAGAACACAUUUGAGAAAGUAGAAAAGGCAUUGUAGUUUAAAUGUUAAACAUUUAAAGAUAAAUACUAAAUAAUUUAAAAAUUUUAAAAUAAUUUGAUUAUUAACUUUUUUUUAAAAUUUUUUAAACUAAAUUCCACAUAGCACAUAACAUUUUUUAAGCACUUUAUUAAAUUAGAUGGUUUAAUUUUGGAAAGCAUUCUUUUAGAUACAGCUUUUAUAUAUAGAGAGAGAGUUGUGAGAGAAUAAUGCCUUCCAAACUCUAGCAUUAAACAAAUAGAAAAUUGAUCUAUAUUCAACCGAGUAAAGUAGGAAAAGACAUUAG